UCUCAGGUUCAAGAUCUGAAGCUCAUUUCUCAACACUUCCUUCCAUUUUUCUUGAGGUUCUCUCCACAUUUACAGAUCGGUGCUCUUUAUACAGCUGAUCUUAUUCAUACAUAUCACAGGGUCAUACUAGCACAGUCGUCUGUCUUGCGUACUACAUACAUGUGAUAACUCUCGAUUUUUAUCUUAAAACAUGUCAGCAUUUUAUACCUGCACACUGACAGUGACCAUCCAGUGGAGCAUGCUGGUUCCAUUUUGUUCAAGACUUUACACGUCCUCUGUGUUCACAACAUACAUUUCACUACUAUGUAGCGUACACAGCUGUUCAUACACAGGCUGCCCAUUGGUGAUCAGAAACUCUCACAAUAAUAAAAUAUAUAUCAUUAAUAUCUAGAUUUAAAAUAUUUUAUAAUAAAUUUUAAAAACCUUGAAAUAUUUAUUUCAGGGUUUCCCAAGUCUCAGAACAAGCAAGUCCAGACAGAGGCAUUUACUUCAAAAGAUGCAUCACAGCAAGUUGAGACGCCAGCACUUGUUGACAAUGAAGUUCAAACAGAAGUAGAACCAGUUGUUACUUUAACGCUUGUUGACAAUAAAGUCCAAACAGAGGUGGAGCCAGUUGAUUAUAGAAGA
Molecule: unclassified non-coding RNA, 627 nt
Filed under: Octopus sinensis (East Asian common octopus)
Lineage: Eukaryota; Metazoa; Mollusca; Cephalopoda; Octopoda; Octopodidae
Description: uncharacterized LOC118761373, transcript variant X4
Source: RNAcentral